Long non-coding RNA from Medicago truncatula (barrel medic), 771 nucleotides. RefSeq lists it as uncharacterized. The transcript has 2 exons. The record is from RefSeq and is a predicted model, not a curated record. NCBI's taxonomy places the organism in Eukaryota, Viridiplantae, Streptophyta, Magnoliopsida, Fabales, Fabaceae.
CUCAGAUCGAUUCAAAAAGACCAAUAUACCCCUCCUUCCUCUUCAAACGCCUGAAACCCUCUUCUUCUCCAACACUAUUCUUCUACAUCCUCAUCAUGGGAACGAAGAUUGAUUUUGAAAUUCUAAAAAAAUCCACAAAAAUCCUUAUUCCUGUAUUUUUUAGAAAAACAUAUUCACCAAAACAUUAUCUCUUCUUCACCAAAACCUUCUCCAACACAUAAAAAUUGAAUUUUUAUCCCAAAACAAAACCUAUCUAUCACCUUCCCUCUUAAACGAACCUCUCUUAUCCACUUACCUUCUCAAUUGUUAUGCCUCUAUCUCCGACAACAACCACAACACCAACAACAACAAGCAACGCCGCUAACAACCGUCGAUGGGAUUUGAUGCUCCAUGAAUUCGUCACAGGCGGCGUCAAACAAUUCAAUUUUAUGUCCUCCUGGUGCCGAAUCCAGAUCUGUAAUCAAGGAAAACAUCAUAUUUUAAUUUGAUUCUGUCUCGAAUUUCCCUUCCAAAUCUACCGAAUCCAGAUUUGUCUUCAUGAACGAAGAGGCUGAGAAGUAAUUGUUUUGAAUUUGAAUCAGAUUCGAAUUUGGGAGAUUUGGGUUGCAGCGGUACUGGAUUUUCAGGAUUGAAUGUCAAGGAUUUGGGGAUGAACUUCUAGGGACAGUGAUAUCAUUCAUAUGUACUGAAGCAAAUCUGGAAAUUUGAACGAUGUGAUGAUGAUGAAUUUGUUGUAUUGAAGAUUUUGAUGAAUAUUGAUAACUUCUCAAA